RNAcentral lists this ribosomal RNA (1172 nucleotides) under Campylobacter jejuni. Its description in RNAcentral is "partial 23S ribosomal RNA". It matches the Rfam family "Bacterial large subunit ribosomal RNA", at positions 1 to 1188 of the family's 2925-position model. The record is from RNAcentral. Lineage: Bacteria; Pseudomonadati; Campylobacterota; Epsilonproteobacteria; Campylobacterales; Campylobacteraceae.
AAAAAAGGUAAGCUACUAAGAGCGAAUGGUGGAUGCCUUGACUGGUAAAGGCGAUGAAGGACGUACUAGACUGCGAUAAGCUACGGGGAGCUGUCAAGAAGCUUUGAUCCGUAGAUUUCCGAAUGGGGCAACCCAAUGUAUAGAGAUAUACAUUACCUAUAUAGGAGCGAACGAGGGGAAUUGAAACAUCUUAGUACCCUCAGGAAAAGAAAUCAAUAGAGAUUGCGUCAGUAGCGGCGAGCGAAAGCGCAAGAGGGCAAACCCAGUGCUUGCACUGGGGGUUGUAGGACUGCAAUGUGCAAGAGCUGAGUUUAGCAGAACAUUCUGGAAAGUAUAGCCAUAGAGGGUGAUAGUCCCGUAUGCGAAAAACAAAGCUUAGCUAGCAGUAUCCUGAGUAGGGCGGGACACGAGAAAUCCUGUCUGAAUCCGGGUCGACCACGAUCCAACCCUAAAUACUAAUACCAGAUCGAUAGUGCACAAGUACCGUGAGGGAAAGGUGAAAAGAACUGAGGUGAUCAGAGUGAAAUAGAACCUGAAACCAUUUGCUUACAAUCAUUCAGAGCACUAUGUAGCAAUACAGUGUGAUGGACUGCCUUUUGCAUAAUGAGCCUGCGAGUUGUGGUGUCUGGCAAGGUUAAGCAAACGCGAAGCCGUAGCGAAAGCGAGUCUGAAUAGGGCGCUUAGUCAGAUGCUGCAGACCCGAAACGAAGUGAUCUAUCCAUGAGCAAGUUGAAGCUAGUGUAAGAACUAGUGGAGGACUGAACCCAUAGGCGUUGAAAAGCCCCGGGAUGACUUGUGGAUAGGGGUGAAAGGCCAAUCAAACUUCGUGAUAGCUGGUUCUCUCCGAAAUAUAUUUAGGUAUAGCGUUGUGUCGUAAUAUAAGGGGGUAGAGCACUGAAUGGGCUAGGGCAUACACCAAUGUACCAAACCCUAUCAAACUCCGAAUACCUUAUAUGUAAUCACAGCAGUCAGGCGGCGAGUGAUAAAAUCCGUCGUCAAGAGGGAAACAACCCAGACUACCAGCUAAGGUCCCUAAAUCUUACUUAAGUGGAAAACGAUGUGAAGUUACUUAAACAACCAGGAGGUUGGCUUAGAAGCAGCCAUCCUUUAAAGAAAGCGUAAUAGCUCACUGGUCUAGUGAUUUUGCGCGGAAAAUAUAACGGGGCUAAAGU